Molecule: long non-coding RNA, 1782 nt
Organism: Cavia porcellus (domestic guinea pig)
Lineage: Eukaryota; Metazoa; Chordata; Mammalia; Rodentia; Caviidae
Exons: 3
Source: RefSeq, a predicted model, not a curated record
UCCAGAAUCCACUUUAGGUGAUUUGGAACCAGGUUUUCAAGAAUGGACACUCACAGGAGAAGACAGCUCCUAAGGUUAAUGAUCUUCUGACAUCACAAGCUUAGAAUCGCCAGUGGAGAAUACAACUGUUCCUCCCCAGAAUAAAACACGAGAGGAGAGGAGACAGGAGAAGAGACAUGCAGGGCAUCUGUCCGUGCAGAAGAGCCCAAACCCUGCUCUCCUCUCACCAUCCAUUCAGAAUGAAGGUGGAAAUUCGAUGCAAAGCCUCCUGGUCCUGGCUCAUUAUGAUUCUGUAAAGUCCUGCCAUUUAGGAAAUGCGUCUCAAUUUUGGUGCAGAUGAAGCUGGAAGGUGCCUGAAGCCAUGUCAAGGCCUGACAGUGGCUGCUGUUCACUUAAUCCCCGAAGCUGAGCAAGAACAUUGAUGUUGUCAUUGACAAUUUACUCUUGCAGUAUUUUUCUGCUAAACCAAGAAGGAUUGUGUCACCGGUGCACUAUCAGAAAUACAUGAAGGACUUGCCCCUUAUUAAGAGGUGCCCUGUCAGUCCAGCUCACAUUUAUAAUGUAACCCUAGCAACAAGCAGCCCCGUCCCUCGCAGGAAGCAAGCAGAAAAGUGGAGCUCUUCAGCCACAUUGUUUGCGAGAAGAAUUAGGCCUGCGUUAGGGACGCUGCAUGUAGCUGCCAAUCCACUUUGCUCCGAGAAUUUCUGCUUCGCAUUCCCAAUGCUCAGGCCGCAUCCUUUUCGGUGAUCUUCUCCAAGCACAUUGCUUCCAGGGAGAAAAAUACCCCUUUUCUUUGCCCAGUAUCCUAAAUGCCAUAAUUUAUUUUACUUUAAGUGGAAAUUGCUGAUUGCCUCCUGGAGAGUGAGAUGCAAUGAUAAAUCAGGCAGUUCUGAGCUCAAAAGUUUGGGCUCCACAGUGGGAGGCUUCUCCUCCCAGACCUGACACUGGAUGUGCUAUCAGAGCAUGAAUGUGUCGGGGGCAUCUUACCGCUGUCUCUGACCCCACUGUUCUUGCCAGCCCACUCUCCUCAAGGUAGAUCUUCUUUUUCACGUUCCUUCUGCCUAUCUGUUGCCAGGGGAGGGAUCACUCAUGGAAGCAUAAAGCAGAGCCAUUUCCAGAGAGGUUCAUGACUGAAAAGUGAGAACCAAGAAAAAUUGAUCUUAGGACCUUAAGAAAGCUGCCUCAUUCAAAGUGAGGUCUCUAAAACAAACCAGAAGAUGCUGUCUAAGAUUAGAGAUGCAAAGAGGAUGAGGAUGACCUGGGGCUGUGGGAAGUGGUAGACUAUAUCCAUCACCCUUGGGUUAGUUCCCCAGUACCAAAAAAAAAAAACACUAAGAUUUUCUCCAUAUCCUCCUCUCUCCUCACUUUAAUAAACAUUUCUCAAUAAAAUACCUGUCCUUUUGCUAAAAUACCUUGAACAGCAGAAUGUUCAAAAGAUUAAGGAGCAGUGCUUCAGAGAAUGGAAAGAAUGAUUCUUUUAUACCACAAAAAGCUCGUUCCCUACAUUUUGGUUGCAUAUAUCACCUGCUUUCAUGAUACAACAACUAGAUUUUUUUAAAACCACUUAUAGAACCAGAAUUUACAUAGACAAAGUUUGCUGGAAGGUCUAUCUCACACACCAGUAUCGAGCUCUCCAGCUCACCCAAUUACCAAUGUCAACAGACUCGGCAUCAGAUUCUAGUUGCAGGUGCCAACCAGUCUAGUAGAACAGUGUUCUCUCUGUCUUUAUAUUAUUGAUUUUAUUAUUAUAUUUUUAUUGACACUUAAGUGACAAUGGCAAAA